ACAUACGGCCACACCUAUUAGAUAAGAACUCGAUCCCGUCCGCUCUCGGCACGUUAAACUAGUAAGGGGCAGAUUAGUAGUUGGAUCGGUGACGACCAGCGAACACCGGCUGCUGUAUGUU
Ribosomal RNA from Hirsutella minnesotensis 3608, 121 nucleotides. NCBI's taxonomy places the organism in Eukaryota, Fungi, Ascomycota, Sordariomycetes, Hypocreales, Ophiocordycipitaceae. The record is from Rfam.